GAUGAACGCUGGCGGCGUGCCUAAUACAUGCAAGUCGAGCGAACAGACGAGGAGCUUGCUCCUCUGACGUUAGCGGCGGACGGGUGAGUAACACGUGGAUAACCUACCUAUAAGACUGGGAUAACUUCGGGAAACCGGAGCUAAUACCGGAUAAUAUAUUGAACCGCAUGGUUCAAUAGUGAAAGACGGUUUUGCUGUCACUUAUAGAUGGAUCCGCGCCGCAUUAGCUAGUUGGUAAGGUAACGGCUUACCAAGGCAACGAUGCGUAGCCGGCCUGAGAGGGUGAUCGGCCACACUGAAACUGAGACACGGUCCAGACUCCUACGGGAGGCAGCAGUAGGGAAUCUUCCGCAAUGGGCGAAAGCCUGACGGAGCAACGCCGCGUGAGUGAUGAAGGUCUUCGGAUCGUAAAACUCUGUUAUUAGGGAAGAACAAAUGUGUAAGUAACUAUGCGCGUCUUGACGGUACCUAAUCAGAAAGCCACGGCUAACUACGUGCCAGCCGCCGCGGUAA
RNAcentral lists this ribosomal RNA (513 nucleotides) under uncultured bacterium. RNAcentral's name for it is "partial 16S ribosomal RNA". It matches the Rfam family "Bacterial small subunit ribosomal RNA", at positions 28 to 523 of the family's 1533-position model. The record is from RNAcentral.